CAUUCUGUGAGAAAAUGUGUGAAUUGAGUUUCGUCAAGAUCUCGCCCGACAUUUGAGACUUACUUGGGUGCAACGAAAAGUGCAGAAAAUUGAGAAAUCUCCGAGGAAUUGAAUUCCACGUUUAAAGAAAUUCAAUCUAGAAAUGCUGGGAACUCCAUGCCUUCUCGUUUGUGUGCCCUUCGAAAUCGCUCCCCCGAAAAAAUGAAUUAUGACUUCUAGACCGCUUUGUGCAUUUUUUCCUCGCAGUAUUUCUUUCACAAAUCCUCCUCCAGAUGUUGCCGGCAUACGUAGAAGCAUUAUUGAACAUCUCCAUAAAAGAAGAGGCCAGUUAUUUGGAUUAUGGACAUAUCUGCAGGUCUGGCAAACUUUUCUUCUCACCGGAAGCAGGUCCUCAGCACCUUGAUUUGUAGCCUCGUGCAAGGUAUGAGAUACCAGGGACUCAUUUACAUUAUACCCUCUUGGCCAAGAGCAGUGACUCAAUCCUCAUUUUUUAUGCUUCCGAAGUUGAAGAGGAGGAAUCAAAUAAAAGCCUCACGUUCUGUCCGA
Long non-coding RNA from Tigriopus californicus, 546 nucleotides. RefSeq lists it as uncharacterized. The transcript has 2 exons. NCBI's taxonomy places the organism in Eukaryota, Metazoa, Arthropoda, Copepoda, Harpacticoida, Harpacticidae. The record is from RefSeq and is a predicted model, not a curated record.